UUUAAGAGGUGGGGCUUAGUGGAAGACGACUGGGAAGGUGAUUGGGGAACACCACCCUUGGAGAGACGGCCUGGUCCCUGCCCACUCUCUCUGGCUUCCUUGUCUCAUCAGGUGAUGACUCUUGCAUGGGAUUCAGCCAUGAUAUGAUGUAGCCAAGGGAGCCCUCACCAGAGGCUGACUUGAGGGGGCCACACAAUCAGACUUUCAGCCUCCCACAUUAUUGUUUCCUCAAGGGUGAAGUCAGCAUCCAUCUCAUGGAGACCUUCAAGCAGCCGAUGGAAAGAAUUCAAUUUGUCAAUCCCGGUUUGCCAACUCUGUAUACAAGCCAGGUUGGAAGCGGAUUCCCUAGCCCCUGGCAAGUUUCCAGAUGGUUCCAGGCCCCACUCCUUGAGCUUCCAAGACAAGCUGAGUCUCCAGACCACGGAGUGCAGGGAAUCAAGAGAGCAGAAUCAACUCACGUGCAGUCUAGUCGCGGGUUCUGCUGGGAAAUAAAAUGCCCGUCUCCCUUGCUGUGCCCCCACUCUGCAAGCAUUAAGGGUGGGUCUCUUAGAAUUCCUCUCACUUGCCGGGCACGGUGGUACACUCUUGUCAUCCCAGCAGCUCAGGAGGCUGAGGCAGGAGGAUCGCAAGUUGGAGGCCAGCCUCAGCCACUCAGCAGGGCCCUGAGCAACUCAGCAAGACCCUGUCUGUAAAUAAAAGAUAAAAUGGGCUGGGAUGUGGCUCCAUGGUUAAGCGCCUCUGGGUUCAAUCCCUGGUACAAAAAUAAAAAUGAGUCUCAUCCAAGCUC
Sciurus carolinensis (gray squirrel) is the source of this 787-nucleotide long non-coding RNA. RefSeq lists it as uncharacterized. The record is from RefSeq and is a predicted model, not a curated record. Lineage: Eukaryota; Metazoa; Chordata; Mammalia; Rodentia; Sciuridae. The transcript has 3 exons.